Molecule: ribosomal RNA, 460 nt
Filed under: uncultured bacterium
Lineage: Bacteria
Description: partial 16S ribosomal RNA
Rfam family: Bacterial small subunit ribosomal RNA
Source: RNAcentral
CCUACGGGAGGCAGCAGUGAGGAAUAUUGGUCAAUGGACGCAAGUCUGAACCAGCCAUGCCGCGUGCAGGAAGACGGCUCUAUGAGUUGUAAACUGCUUUUGUACGAGGGUAAAUCCCGAUACGUGUAUCUGGUUGAAAGUAUCGUACGAAUAAGGAUCGGCUAACUCCGUGCCAGCAGCCGCGGUAAUACGGAGGAUUCAAGCGUUAUCCGGAUUUCUUGGGUUUAAAGGGUGCGUAGGCGGUUCGAUAAGUUAGAGGUGAAAGCCCGGGGCUCAACUCCGGCACUGCCUUUGAUACUGUCGGGCUAGAGUUUAGUUGCGGUAGGCGGAAUGUAUGGUGUAGCGGUGAAAUGCAUAGAGAUCAUACAGAACACCGAUUGCGAAGGCAGCUUACCAAACUACGACUGACGUUGAGGCUCGAAAGCGCGGGUAUCGAACAGGAUUAGAUACCCCAGUAGUC